This 1011-nucleotide long non-coding RNA is filed under the name Gadus morhua (Atlantic cod). RNAcentral's name for it is "lncRNA (ENSGMOG00000034673.1)". The record is from RNAcentral. Lineage: Eukaryota; Metazoa; Chordata; Actinopteri; Gadiformes; Gadidae.
AUGAUGGCGGAUUUGCCAGGCGCACGCAAAGAAAGGUUCACCACAGAAGAGACCGAUGUGCUUGUCAGAGCAGUCAAAGAACGCGAGUUGACUUUAUAUGGGGAUGGGAGAAACCCACCCAAAAUUGCUUCGGUGAAAGCGGCUUGGGAGGAAAUCGCCGUAAUUGUUUCAGCAGCUGGACAAAAUAGGACAUCUCUCCAUUGCCGUAAGCGGUACAACGACGUCAGGAGAAGAGGCAAGGCCAAGCUUGCGGCCAACUUGCAAGCACGUCAAAAGACUGGAGGAGGAUCUGGCAGUUACCAGGACCUCACGCCAGCAGAGGAUAUCGCUGCGUCAACACUGACCGCUGAAAGUGUUGAGGGUUUUGGGGGCUUUGAAGUCGGCACCCAACCCGAUGCACCAGCUGUCCAACCCCAAGCUUCUCAGGAAGAAGCCUCGGGACCAGCGCGCACGGGGCAGCUGAGGGAGCCGCGCGGCGCACUCAAGCAAGACGCCGUGGAAGCAGCGCCAGCAGCAUGAGACCGCAGGACCACCCGUUCCUGCAGCUCCAGCAAACCGGGUUCGACAUGCUGGAGCGGGAGCUGGCCGGGAUGCGGCGAAACACCAACACCCGUCUGGACCGGGUGGCGAUGUUGCUGCGGCCUCUCGGGCGCAUCGCCUCAAGUUUGGACCGGAUUGCGACAGCAAUGGAACGUGCAUGGCCCCCAAACGACCCACCUCCUCCGCCUGUUGUGCCCCUUCCUCCCCCUGUUGUACCCCUUCCUCCCCCCAUUCCAUCUCCAUCCACCCGCUCCACCAGGAGCACAUCCAGCAUCGCCACUCCCGGAGAGGAGGGAGAAAAUAAAUAUUUUUUCCUUCAAAUCUUUGCAACUUUUCAUUUUUCGUUUUGUAUUUUUUUUUCAUUUACGCCUACGAACAUUUGGACAAGCCGAAUAAAAAAUGUCUCAAGGACAUACUAUACUUUCCGAUGUUUUGGGCUCACUUUCUCUGACUCACAAGGUUAUGAAUGCA